Molecule: ribosomal RNA, 844 nt
Filed under: uncultured bacterium
Lineage: Bacteria
Description: bacterial SSU rRNA
Rfam family: Bacterial small subunit ribosomal RNA
Source: RNAcentral
AGAGUUUGAUCCUGGCUCAGAUUGAACGCUGGCGGCAUGCCUUACACAUGCAAGUCGAACGGUAACAGGUCUUCGGAUGCUGACGAGUGGCGAACGGGUGAGUAAUACAUCGGAACGUGCCCGAUCGUGGGGGAUAACUACUCGAAAGAGUGGCUAAUACCGCAUACGAUCUACGGAUGAAAGCAGGGGACCCGCAAGGGCCUUGCGCGGACGGAGCGGCCGAUGGCAGAUUAGGUAGUUGGUGGGAUAAAAGCUUACCAAGCCGACGAUCUGUAGCUGGUCUGAGAGGACGACCAGCCACACUGGGACUGAGACACGGCCCAGACUCCUACGGGAGGCAGCAGUGGGGAAUUUUGGACAAUGGGCGAAAGCCUGAUCCAGCAAUGCCGCGUGCAGGAUGAAGGCCUUCGGGUUGUAAACUGCUUUUGUACGGAACGAAAAGACUCCUUCUAAUAAAGGGGGUUCAUGACAGUACCGUAAGAAUAAGCACCGGCUAACUACGUGCCAGCAGCCGCGGUAAUACGUAGGGUGCAAGCGUUAAUCGGAAUUACUGGGCGUAAAGCGUGCGCAGGCGGUUAUGUAAGACAGAUGUGAAAUCCCCGGGCUCAACCUGGGAAUUGCAUUAGUGACUGCAUAGCUAGAGUGCGGCAGAGGGGGAUGGAAUUCCGCGUGUAGCAGUGAAAUGCGUAGAUAUGCGGAGGAACACCGAUGGCGAAGGCAAUCCCCUGGGCCUGCACUGACGCUCAUGCACGAAAGCGUGGGGGAGCAAACAGGAUUAGAUACCCUGGUAGUCCACGCCCUAAACGAUGUCAACUGGUUGUUGGGAAUUCACUUUCUCAGUAAC